RNAcentral lists this ribosomal RNA (315 nucleotides) under uncultured eukaryote. Its description in RNAcentral is "partial 18S ribosomal RNA". It matches the Rfam family "Eukaryotic small subunit ribosomal RNA", at positions 1470 to 1796 of the family's 1831-position model. The record is from RNAcentral.
CCCCUAGAUGUUCUGGGCCGCACGCGCGCUACACUGACGCAAGCAGCGGGUCCCUGCGCCGAGAGGCGUGGGCAAUCCCCAAACUGCGUCGUGAUGGGGCUUGACGAUUGCAAUUAUUCGUCACCAACGAGGAAUUCCUAGUAAGCGCGAGUCAUCAGCUCGCAUUGAUUACGUCCCUGCCCUUUGUACACACCGCCCGUCGCACCUACCGAUUGAAUGGUCCGGUGAAAUCUCGGGACGGCGGCUUGGUCGCUUGCGUCCGACUGCUGAAACUUGAUUAAACCAUAUCAUUUAGAGGAAGGUGAANUCGUAACA